AGGCCAGUAGCUCAAUUUGGUAGAGCACUCGUCUCCAAAACGAGCGGUUGUGGGUUCGAGUCCUGCCUGGCCUG
RNAcentral lists this transfer RNA (74 nucleotides) under Pseudomonadota bacterium. RNAcentral describes it as "tRNA-Trp". It matches the Rfam family "tRNA". From Rfam's summary of the family: Transfer RNA (tRNA) molecules are approximately 80 nucleotides in length. Their secondary structure includes four short double-helical elements and three loops (D, anti-codon, and T loops). RNAcentral also lists the same sequence under 2 other names. The record is from RNAcentral. Lineage: Bacteria; Pseudomonadati; Pseudomonadota.